Molecule: transfer RNA, 74 nt
Filed under: Clostridia bacterium
Lineage: Bacteria; Bacillati; Bacillota; Clostridia
Description: tRNA-Ser
Rfam family: tRNA
About the family: Transfer RNA (tRNA) molecules are approximately 80 nucleotides in length. Their secondary structure includes four short double-helical elements and three loops (D, anti-codon, and T loops).
Source: RNAcentral
GGGUGUAUAGUCUAAUGUUAAGACGCGAGUCGGCUAAGCUCGAGAUAGAGGUUCGAAUCCUCUUGCAUCCUCCA